GAAGCAAUCUAUUAAUUUAUUAAUCAAAACUUAAUUUUCGUUGUUUAUUUAGUAUUACAAUAUUAAUUUAGAAUUAAUGCCAUAGUAAAAAAACUGUAUCCAUGUAAGUAAAUAUGUCGAUAUAAUUAUAAACUAUCAAUUAAUAGAUAUUUUGUGAAAAAAAAAACAGUUCUUAAAUAAAAACCAUUCUCAAAUGUAUGGUAAGAAAAAUUCAAUUAUAAAAAAAUACAACAAUAGAACUUUAGUUAAUAAUUAUACAAUCUCAUUUAAUAACUACUUUAUAAAAAAAUAAAAACAAUACUUACAUUGCGAAAUAAUUCUUAAAUGCAAUAAAAAUUCAAUAAAAUAGACGAUAUAAGCAAUUUUUGAUGUUCCCCGCAGAUUCAUACACCUCAAAUUUGAUCAGAUUUAGAAAAAGCAGAGCUAGUCGCACGAUUAGACCGAUGGUACUAUCCCAUCAGUCAAUGUUAGCCUUAUUAACUUUUCAUGUAUGUAUGAAAGUUUCUAAAUGGUUUAGUUCUGCUGCUCUAACUGGUUUUUUUUUCUAGCUCUAACAAAGUAAACAUUUCAUCUCAUUAUUCACAUACAUAUGUAUAUCUGCAUGCAUUUGGUGCUCAGAUCUUAUUUGCUUCUCAAAAACAUGUUCUCUCACCUGCAUAUUCGAAUCUUAUCUUAAAGCGAAUACAAAUAAACACAUUAUUCAACAAAUUUUCAUUUGUCACUGAAAUCGUAGCUUUAUGGAUUCUCUAUGAAGCUCCAAGUUAGUCGCUUUUCGCCAAGCUAAUUUUCUACAAUGUUGACUAGUGUAAUCAGAGCAAAAAUAUACCGAGUUCCAUUGUUUGUAUACGUGUGCAUUGAGUUUGCAAUAAGAUUAAUAGCGCAUCGGUGGAACUUUUACUUAGUUGAGCGCAUAUUUUCAAACGAAUUGGUUGAGUUGCGGAUAUGAAAUAGUUGUACCUAACUUAAAAUUAGAACUGAUUGAAAUAGUGCUUAAAUAUUUACGCAAUAUAAAUACCUUACGUUAAAAGGCAACGUAAUUAUUGCAAACCUGCGGCCGUUUUGUGCCAUAAAAACAUAUUACGGCAAAACAUGUUUAUCGAAUUAUUGCUGCUGCUGUUUGCCCUGCUCAUACUCGGCGAUUAUUUACUGAAGAAACGUCGCAAUGAUAUGAUAAAUUAUAUGCCAGGACCCAAGCCGUUGCCAGUGUUGGGUAAUGUGCUCAUGUAUCGUGGUAAAAGCCAAGCAGACAUUAUAAGUUUCAUUAUGCACAAUCGCCAGCAAUAUGGACCAUACUAUCGCGUAUGGCUGCUGAACCAAUUGGCGGUAUUAUGCUCCGAUCCUGCCGACGUUGAGAUAUUACUCAGCAGCUCGAAACAUAUUAAAAAGAAUAACUUCUAUGAUCUACUACAUCCAUGGCUCGGCACCGGUUUACUCGUAAGCAACGGCCGUAAAUGGCAUGCGCGCCGUAAGAUCAUAACACCAACAUUUCAUUUCAAAAUACUCGAGCAAUUUGUGGAAAUAUUCGAUCAACAGAGUACAGUGCUGGUGAAAAAAAUGGUACAAUAUGCUGAUGGAAAAACGGUACUGAAUAUUGCACCGCUAUUAUGUUUGAUGACAUUGGAUAUAAUUGCAGAGACUGCUAUGGGUACCAAAGUAAAUGCGCAAACGAAUCCUGAAUUUCCCUACGUAUCGGCUGUUAUAAGCGUUACAUAUAUGUUCGCCAAGCGCUUCAUAAACGUUUGGCAGCGUAUUGAUUGGCUUUUCCGAUUGCUCUCACGCAAAGAAGCCAAAUUAUUUUACGCCAACAUUAAGCUGAUGCACGAAUUUACCGAUCGCAUCAUUGUCGAACGUCGCGCGGCACUGGAACAAACGCUUAGCGCCAACGAAACUACGCCAACCGCCACCGACACCGAGUUGGGCCUGAAACGACGUAUGGCGUUGCUGGAUGUGCUGCUGCAGUCUAGCAUUGACGGCAAACCACUGAGUAAUGAAGAUAUACGUGAAGAGGUGGACACAUUCAUGUUCGAGGGGCACGAUACCACCUCAAGUGCGCUCACAUUUUGCUUGCACUUGAUCUCCAGGCAUCCGCUUGUACAGGCGAAAUUAUUUGAGGAAAUACGUAAAGUGCUGGGCGCUGACAAAGAUCGUCCAGUAACACAACGCGACCUCGGUGAACUGAAGUACAUGGAGUGUGUAAUCAAGGAGUCCCUGCGUCUAUAUCCAACAGUGCCGCUAAUUGGACGCAACUUCGAGGAGGAUGUUAUUUUACGUGGUAAACCAAUACCCGCCGGCACAAAUAUCACCAUCGGCAUAUAUAUUAUGCAGCGUGAUCCGAAAUAUUUUCCCGAACCCGAUACAUUUCGGCCGGAACGUUUUCUCAACGAAUCCCUUGAAGGUGGCGAGAAAUUAAAUCCGUACGUUUAUGUGCCUUUCAGUGCUGGACCACGCAACUGUAUUGGUCAGAAAUUUGCCAUGUUGGAAAUGAAGAGCACAUUAAGUAAAAUAUUACGGCACUUUGAGUUGCUACCGCUGGGCGAAGACUUGCGGCCAAUAUUAACUAUAGUAUUACGCUCCGAUAAUGGCAGUCAAAUGGGCCUAAAGCCGCGUAAUUAUGCUUCAACGAGCAGCCAAGUAGUAGACCAAGUUUAAGCGGUUGUAAUAAUCGCGUAACCUGUUUUGAAAAUGAAAGGUGCUUUCAAAUAAACAAAUAGUGGGUGAACGUAUGUAUGAAUAAUGAGUCGCGUGAGUUUGAGCAGCACUGUGUGUUGUUCAGUGAAUCAGAACAGUUUGGAAUUUAAAAUUUUAAUAGCACUGCAUUUAAUGUUUUUAUACGGUGAUAGAUCACAAAUAAAUAUUAAUGGUAAUAUAUUGUAUAAGGUAUAGUAAAAAAAAUCCAUUAUUUUUGCAUUUAAUUGUAGGUUUUAUUUAGCAUAGUUAGAAUUAUCCGAAUAUCCGAGAUUGGCACUUGGUGUCAGAUCAAAACUACAUAUAAGGUGGAUGCAAAAGAACAUCCCAACCAAGCUCCCAGAUUUUCUCCAAUUGUUGACAAUACAGCUUCGAACUAAAAGUUUACCGCCGGGAGGCAGCUCAUAGUAGAAGAUUCCCUGCCAAUCCAACCAAACACACAAUAAACCCUUCCUGAAAGUUAAUCCUGGUUUGAUCACCGUUUACGCCGGCUUACCGCGAUUUGAACACGACCAUUUACGCUUGAAUUUGUCGUAAGUGAACCACUUUUCAUCACCACUAACUAUGUUACGUAGUUCAUGAGAAGUAGUCAUCCUUCAGGAUGCCAGCGCUUGACGUGAAUUUCAAUAGGUUCUGCAGCCACACUAUCGAUACCUCUUCCAGUGUCUCACAUCGUAGGGCCCUUAAAGGUUUUAAGCAUUGCCUCGCUAGUGCGGAACAAGUGCACAAGAGAUGCUCCAUUAUUUCCCUGGUGCCACCAAACUGUGAACAGUGAGUAUUCCAAUCAUGUUUCUGCAGUGUCUUCUAUUAAGAGUGAGUAGAAACUUUGUGUAUUUUUGAUCUACCGCUUUGCCUUUUGCAGUUUUGCAUUCCGUUAGAUCAUUCCAUCGAAUUUUAACCUUCCUUGUCAUGCUCUUGUCCAGAUCGUCGUAAAUUUCUUUUCACUAGACCUAAUAUAUAUGCCACUAUAUACAUACAUAUGUAUGUACAUAUGAGUGCCUUGUAUACUUUUUCUUUCUAUACACACAUUUUUUUAUUUAUUGCUUUUAAAUCAUGUUCUGUCAAUAAUAAAUAUAUAGAUUUCGUUAGAAGUACUCAAAUUUGUAUUUCAAGUAUCACUUCCUCUCGCCACAGCACUAAGAAUAUAUACGCAUUAACAGUUGGAGCAGCACUGUGUUUGUUUACUUAUUUCAAUUCAAAGCACUUCCCCUUUCUGUGAUGUCAUGCGAUAAACGUCAACUCACUCACUCACUACCUCAGAGAACGUAUAUCAUAUGUAUUCUCUGCCUACCUGCUACAGAGAACGUAUAUCAUAUAUAUGAUAUGUCUGCCUUGCUACCUCUCUAUGUCAAAUAAUUUUCACACUCUCGCACUAUAUUGAAUGGAAAAGCAAAUCGUGCGAGUUUUAUAAAAUUUUAGUUCUGCUGUUGCUCUUUGCCCGACUGUCAUAAUUUAUUUCGAUUGCGGAAAAUUAUUAAAACAACCAAAGUGCGUAUAAAAAACUAAAUGAUUGCAUUUUUUCAAAGCGCAAGGUGCAAUUUCGUGUCAAUAAUAUUAUUGUAUAAAAUAACCAGCUUCUGCUUGCGCGCAAAAUGUAAAUUAUUUCAAGUUACAUGCAGAGAACGUAUAUCGUAUAUAAUAUACGUUCUCUGUUACAUGCAUUAUAAAAGUUAUGACCGGCAGCUAUCAUGAAAUUGACGUUGUAGUGAUUCACAGCCGACAUUAAUUUGUUUAUAUUGUGUGUUUGUUGUUGGUAUUUGUACGUACACGCGUGUGUGUGUGUAAAAUAGAAAGCAUAAACGCUGUCACGUUCACCUUAAUAACCGAGAUAAUGUGUUUGCAGGGCGCGCAUAGCAGCAAAGCACUUAAGCAGGGAUAAAAUGUGUGAAAGUCAACAGUAAACUCAUUUAUGAUAAGUUAAAAAAAAAUAUUACAAUUUUUUAAAAUAAAUAAUAAAUGUAUGUAAAUAAUUAUGAAGUCACAUAUACUCGUAUGCACAUACACACAUACACGUUUUUUUUUAGCUAUAAGCCAAAACUAUUCUAUUUUAGCAGAGAUAGAUUUAGUGCUGAUAUUUGAGUGUGCGAUAACAGGCCGUUGACAACAGACGUUUAAAAAUAAUUCAUUAAUUAGUUACUUUAAUAAAAAAUGCGUUAGACAGCAGUUCAUGAAGCACAACGAAAAGUGACAGUCGAUGUUAAAGCAUAACUAUAAUAUUAAAUUAUAAAACAUAAUAAAGUGUCUACGUGGCAACCGCACGAUGUUUUGGGAGCUGAUGCUGCUGGCUGCAACAGUUGUCUGCCUCGCCUUACACCACCAAUAUGCGCGCAUGCGUAAUCAGGCGUUCUUCAAGCGUAUACCACCCGUCUCCAAUAUACCAUUCGUGGGUUGUAUGCUCGUGUUGGCGCGCUUUCAGCCAGAUAGUGAGUAAAAAUGCAUAUUUUAAAACACACACGCGCACACGCUGACACACCACACGCAACGCGCCAAAGAAAUUUUCGCCAUACCGCUAAUAGCGGUAAUGCUAAUUGGUACUCUUUGAAUUUGGAAAUAUUGGAACUUGCUGACGUCACAAUAGCACGUGUACCCAAUUGCAUUGCUAAGUUGACGUCAAGCGAAAAUUAAAAAAAAAAAAAUAGAUGGCGCACAAUUAACUUAGC
This is a non-coding RNA of Bactrocera oleae (olive fruit fly), 5345 nucleotides long. NCBI's taxonomy places the organism in Eukaryota, Metazoa, Arthropoda, Insecta, Diptera, Tephritidae. The record is from RefSeq and is a predicted model, not a curated record.